UUUAACGGCUAACAGAAUGAUAACCUUAUAAUCUGGUCAGGAUAGAAAUAUAGCAGCCACAUUAAGAAGUGCCAUGUCUGUUGGCUUUUUAUUAU
RNAcentral lists this signal recognition particle RNA (95 nucleotides) under Mycoplasmopsis meleagridis ATCC 25294. RNAcentral describes it as "Mycoplasma meleagridis ATCC 25294 Bacterial small signal recognition particle RNA". It matches the Rfam family "Bacterial small signal recognition particle RNA". Rfam says of the family: The signal recognition particle (SRP) is a universally conserved ribonucleoprotein involved in the co-translational targeting of proteins to membranes. Archaeal SRP consists of a 7S RNA and homologues of the eukaryotic SRP19 and SRP54 proteins. In most bacteria, the SRP consists of a 4.5S RNA and the Ffh protein (a homologue of the eukaryotic SRP54 protein). The record is from Rfam by way of RNAcentral. Lineage: Bacteria; Bacillati; Mycoplasmatota; Mycoplasmoidales; Metamycoplasmataceae.